RNAcentral lists this ribosomal RNA (481 nucleotides) under uncultured bacterium. Its description in RNAcentral is "bacterial SSU rRNA". It matches the Rfam family "Bacterial small subunit ribosomal RNA", at positions 34 to 507 of the family's 1533-position model. The record is from RNAcentral.
CGCUGGCGGCAUGCCUAACACAUGCAAGUCGAGCGAGUGGAGUUCUUCGGAACAAAGCUAGCGGCGGACGGGUGAGUAACACGUGGGCAACCUGCCUCAUAGAGGGGAAUAGCCUUCCGAAAGGGAGAUUAAUACCGCAUAAGAUUGUAGCUUCGCAUGAAGUAGCAAUUAAAGGAGCAAUCCGCUAUGAGAUGGGCCCGCGGCGCAUUAGCUAGUUGGUGAGGUAACGGCUCACCAAGGCGACGAUGCGUAGCCGACCUGAGAGGGUGAUCGGCCACAUUGGGACUGAGACACGGCCCAAACUCCUACGGGAGGCAGCAGUGGGGAAUCUUCCGCAAUGGGCGCAAGCCUGACGGAGCAACGCCGCGUGAGUGAAGAAGGUUUUCGGAUCGUAAAGCUCUGUUGAGAGGGACGAGAGAUAUAAUCAGGAAAUGGGUUAUAGAGGACGGUACCUUUCGAGGAAGCCACGGCUAACUACGUG